UGGCAUUCUAUGGCAAUGUGAAUUUAAUUUUUUUUAGGAUUUGAAAACAUGUUGCAAACAACAAAAUUACAAGGAAGCCAUAGGCAUAUUACCCUAGGAAUCAAAGAAUAUUGAAAAAUAGAGCAAUAUUGGGUUUCAUGAUAAUUCGCACACAUCAAGCCAAAGAUGAAUACGCAUAUAAGGCGAACACUGCACAAAUUUUUUCUCCUCUGUUAGCGAGCCUGCAUCUCCAAUCUCUACAUUCUAUUCCCUGAACUAAAUGAUUGGAGCCAGGUAGCGGUCCAGUCCAACGUCCAAUGCAUUUAUCACAAGAUCUCAAGAAUCAGCUUAUAGUGACAUCAAUUUCUUGCUUACACAGCAAUUGGAGAUUCCUUCGCAGUCAAGUUUGAAACAGCCAAAUUGAACUUCUCCCUGGUUUUUGUACCAGCAACCUGACCGGCCCUUGCCACUUUACUAAAGGCACCAUUUAGCCAAGCUGUUCCAGCCAUUACAUAUCUGCUUGAUUUGACAGCUGACCCUGUGUCAUUUAUCUUCCUCUCUGCCGCAAAUAUUGCUGCCAUGGUUUUAUCUGAAACAUGAAGUCUUUGGUCCACAGAUUUCACUUUCUCAUUGACCGCCGAAAUGCCAACUGUCAAUUUCUCUGUAAGCCCAACUCUCUGAUCAAAAGAAAUUACCUUGGCAGAUGCACUAGCAGUCAA
RNAcentral lists this unclassified non-coding RNA (698 nucleotides) under Hevea brasiliensis (rubber tree). The record is from RNAcentral. Lineage: Eukaryota; Viridiplantae; Streptophyta; Magnoliopsida; Malpighiales; Euphorbiaceae.